AGGCUGAAUGAAAUGUGAUGCUACUUUUGA
This 30-nucleotide non-coding RNA is filed under the name Rattus norvegicus (Norway rat). The record is from RNAcentral. Lineage: Eukaryota; Metazoa; Chordata; Mammalia; Rodentia; Muridae.